AUUCAACGAAGAGUGUUCUUUUACAAGAAUACUGCUCGUUGGGUUAUACAACCCACGAAUUGCUCUUUAACAAUUAGGAAGAAGCACAACGAAGGUGUGUUGUCUAAUAAACGCAAAGCGAUUAGUCGCCUUGUGAUGACAAUACACGGGUUGUGAUUGCAACAGAACAAAUUAUGUUCAACGAAAGUUCUCAAAAAUAUAGACGUUGUUCGGUCUUCGGAUUGAAUAACAGCUAAGGAUUGAUGAACGGCAACAACGUAUACUCAUAUUCCUAUAACAGCACCAAGCGUUAUAGGAUCAAGCGAAUAAGUGCAUAUGAUGGAUGCCUUGGCGAUCACAGGCGAUGAAGGACGCGGUAGCCUGCGAAAAGCUACGGGGAGCUGGCAAACAAGCUUUGAUCCGUAGAUGUCCGAAUGGGGAAACCCACCGUAGUAAUACGGUAUCCCAUGCUGAAUACAUAGGCAUGUGGAGGCGAACCGAGUGAACUUAAACAUCUCAGU
Molecule: ribosomal RNA, 500 nt
Filed under: uncultured bacterium
Lineage: Bacteria
Description: partial 16S ribosomal RNA
Rfam family: Bacterial large subunit ribosomal RNA (bases 296-500)
Source: RNAcentral